Long non-coding RNA from Phragmites australis (common reed), 224 nucleotides. RefSeq lists it as uncharacterized. The record is from RefSeq and is a predicted model, not a curated record. Lineage: Eukaryota; Viridiplantae; Streptophyta; Magnoliopsida; Poales; Poaceae. The transcript has 3 exons.
AUGAUGACGCCCCUUUAUGCUGCAAUGGGCCAAACUUCGCCACCAAUGCCAACCCCUUCUCGUCCACUUGCUCCACAGGCUCCACACACUCCUUAUCCAUCAGAGGGAUCGAAUACGCCUGGAGCUGGAGGUUCGCACAUUGGUACUCCACCUCACUUUGGUUAAGGUGGUAAUCAAGUGUGGAGUCUGUUACGGCCUGCAACAUUUUCUUUUUGUUUGGACUA